AUGAGACAGCGGCUUCAGGCAGGGAGAUACUGGAGGUGGCUCGAUCGUCGCCUGACAGGCUGGACAGGUGGCAGAGGUGGAGGUCGUGCGAGGCGGCUCUUCGGCCGAUCUGUUCAUUCAAGCCCUUGCCCCUUGGUUGCCUGCCUUGCUAGCAAGCACGACCACUGCCAUGUCUUCUCCGGUGCUACCAGCAAGCGGCCGACCAUGCCGCUGCCAUGCCUCCGGCGCUCCCUGGCAGCCAGCCCUACAUGUCCAAAUUUGAAAAGGAAGAGUAAGAAGAAAUCCAUGAAAGAAAGAUGGUUGAUCGGCUGA
This 312-nucleotide ribosomal RNA is filed under the name Triticum aestivum (bread wheat). Its description in RNAcentral is "partial small subunit ribosomal RNA". Lineage: Eukaryota; Viridiplantae; Streptophyta; Magnoliopsida; Poales; Poaceae. The record is from RNAcentral.